AUUGAACGCUGGCGGCAGGCCUAACACAUGCAAGUCGAGCGGAUGAAGGGAGCUUGCUCCUGGCUUCAGCGGCGGACGGGUGAGUAAUGCCUAGGAAUCUGCCUGGUAGUGGGGGAUAACGUCCGGAAACGGGCGCUAAUCCCGCAUACGUCCUUAUGGAGAACGGCGGGGAUCUUCGGACCUCGCGCUAUCAGAUGAGCCUAGGUCGGAUUAGCUAGUUGGUGUGGUAAAGGCCUACCAAGGCGACGAUCCGUAACUGGUCUGAGAGGCUGAUCAGUCACACUGGAACUGAGACACGGUCCAGACUCCUACGGGAGGCAGCAGUGGGGAAUAUUGGACAAUGGGCGAAAGCCUGAUGCAGCAAUGCCGCGUGUGUGAAGAAGGUCUUCGGAUUGUAAAGCACUUUAAGUUGGGAGGAAGGGAAGUAAGUUAAAAUAUUGCUGUUUUGACGUUACCAACAGAAAAAGCACCGGCUAACUUCGUG
RNAcentral lists this ribosomal RNA (484 nucleotides) under uncultured bacterium. RNAcentral describes it as "partial 16S ribosomal RNA". It matches the Rfam family "Bacterial small subunit ribosomal RNA", at positions 30 to 507 of the family's 1533-position model. The record is from RNAcentral.